Molecule: long non-coding RNA, 1288 nt
Organism: Rhinolophus ferrumequinum (greater horseshoe bat)
Lineage: Eukaryota; Metazoa; Chordata; Mammalia; Chiroptera; Rhinolophidae
Exons: 3
Source: RefSeq, a predicted model, not a curated record
GGCGAGGCGCGCACGGCCCCAGGCGGCUGCGCCCAGUGGAGGCAGCGCCCGCCCGGCCGCCGCGCUUGGGCCUGGGCUCCUGCCGGCGCUCCUGGGGCCCCACGGUCUCUCAGCCUUGCUUCGAGGUUGCGGCCCCCAGUCCAGGUCACUCCCCCAGGCGCACGCGGCGUCGUCGGCGCCCCGGGCUCACCAUGGUGGCAACGCGCGCCGAGUGCCCGCGCGUCGCCAGCCGCCUGAGCCGCAGCGCGGGCUGAGAGCAGUCCGCUGAGGCCCCCCGCCCCUGCCUGUUCCCCGCUCGGCCCGCGCGUCCCCUCCGGCCGCCGCUGUCUAUGGCGCAGCCCCCCUCCCUGGAUCAUGCACAGAAACUUUCGCAAGUGGAUUUUUUACGUGUUUCUCUGCUUUGGCGUCCUCUACGUGAAGCUCGGAUGGAGAAACUGAGGCCGGUGGCUGCAGAGGCAGGGCUGGAAGGCCCCUGUCCCAGUCUCAGUUCUGCAGGCCCGGCUGGUUGUCUGCGGUUGCUGGUGGCUCUGUUUAUUCAUUAGGAUACCCAGCAAGGGAGGCCAAGUCACUUGUCCACAGAAGUAAGUGGCGGAGCCAGGACUGGAGUUGGCUCUGACCUCCACCAGUGACCACUCUUCUAGCACCAUCUGAAAGCAGCCGCCCUCCCCCACCCCCAGCUUGUAGGAAGAGCUCUAUGAACCACCCUCACCACCUCACCACCACGCAGCACAAGGACCUGAAGCUGGUGCCUAACCCAGGCUCCUAGGGCUGAUUCCAGGGCUUGGAGGUCAACGUGACUGGGCAGUACCCCCACCCCACCCCAUGAGCCUCCCGUUCCCCUCUGUAAAUGGGACUGCUGCUCUGGCCAUCCUGAAAAGGAUGGUGGCCAGUGCCUGAGUAGGAAGAGCCCAGGGAGUGAGGCAGUCUGUGCGCCCAUGCACCUGUGCCAGCCUCUCGGAAUGCAUAAGAGAGCCAGGCAGUGCCUUGGCUCUGCCCUCUGCCUCCACCAAGGAGCCCUGGAGGGGGUACUCCUCCCCCUGGUGUACCCCAUAAAGUGCAUACUCUCACUCCUGGGGAGAGAGGAGAAAACGAGAUCUCCACAAACACCCCUGUGGAACCACAUCCAGGAAACCUGAGAACCACUGGGAUCUGCUAAGGGGGGGGGUUCAGCCCCUGCCCACCCCUGUGGGAGUGAAGGGGCCUGCUUUCUUUGCAAGCCAUCUUGGCUGUCCAAGGUGGGGAAGAGGGGGCAGCGGGGCCCGGAUGUGACCCAAGGGGUUAAAUGACC